AUGGUCUCGCUCUCUCUCUCCUUUGCAGCUAGCAACACGGCCCCGUCUGUCUUCCCCCUGACCUCCUGCACUGGCAAAGUCACCCCCCCCCAGGUCACCUUCGGCUGCCUGGCCAAAGGCUACUUCCCCGAGCCGGUCACCGUGACAUGGAGCCCCAACAUCGGCUCCUCGGGCGUGAGGACCUAUCCCUCCGUGCUGCAACCUUCCAGCGGCCUCUACUCGCUCAGCAGCCAGGCCACUGUCUCGGCCAGCAGCUGGAAGUCUAACACCUAUAGCUGCACCGUAGAGCACCGGCCCACCAGCUCCAGCAUCUCCAAGGAAAUCUCAAUGAUGUGCUUGAAUCCCCUGUGUCCUCCAUUCCCACCCACCGAAGGCAGGCGCUCUGACCCUGGCAUCUACCUCCUGCGCCCUCACAACGAGGAGCUGAGCAACUCCGAAGACUCCGUUAGCCUCACCUGCCUGGUGCAGGGCUUCUUCCCUGAGGACAUCUCUGUGCAGUGGAUGAAAAACCACAAACCCGAUGAGAGCUUGGAAUAUAUCACCACCCAGUCCAACAAGGACGGAGCCAGCAACUCGAACUUCUUCCUCUACAGCAAGCUGACAGCCAGCAAGUCCAGCUGGAACAGCGGGGACAACUACACCUGCAUGGUCAUCCACGAAGCCCUGCAGAUGAAGUUCACCCAACGCAGCGUCAGCAAAAUCUCUGAGGUGAUUGUGUCAGGUGAGUUUUGCAGCGAGGAUGGAGACGAGGAGUUAGACGGCCUCUGGUACACCAUCUCGGUCUUCAUCACCCUCUUCCUCCUGAGCGUGUGCUACAGCGCCACCAUCACCCUGUUCAAGGUGAAGUGGCUUUUCUCUGCAAUGGUGCAGCUGAAGGNAAGGGUGAAAGGAAUACCUCUGUGUCCGGAGAGGGGGCAGGAGCCUGGGAGGUUCACCGGGCACCUGACGAUGGAGGGAGGGAAUGAAGAGGAUGAAGCAGUGCAGUCCACCUCCUAG
This is a non-coding RNA of Chelonoidis abingdonii (Abingdon island giant tortoise), 996 nucleotides long. Lineage: Eukaryota; Metazoa; Chordata; Testudines; Testudinidae. The record is from the annotation of a RefSeq genome assembly.